CAGUGGUUAACGAAUCCGACUAGGAACCAUGAAGUUGUGGGUUCAAUCCCUGGCUUUGCUAAGUGGGUUAAGGAUCCAGCAUUGCUGUGAGCUGUGGUGUAGCCUGGCGGCUACAGCUCCAAUUCGACCCCUAGCCUGGGAAUUUGCCGAGGGAGCAGUCCAAGAAAUGGCAAAAAGACAAAAAAAAAAAAAAAAAAAAAAAAGUGCUGUUACAUACCAGGAGUUCCCGUCAUGGCUCAGUGGGUUAAGAAUCUGACUAGGAUCCAUGAGGAUGUGGGUUCGAUCCCUGGCCUUGCUCAUUGGAUUAAGGAUCUGGCAUUGCUCUGAACUGUGGUCUAGGUUACAGAUGUGGCUUGGACCUGGCAUUGCUGUGGCUGUGGUGUAGGCCAGCAGCUGCAACUCCAAUUCCACCCCUAGCCUGGAAACUUCCAUAUGUCAUAGGGGUGGCCCUAAAAAGAAAAGGAAAAUUAAAAUUAAAAUGCGAUUACAUACCAAAUAUUCCCUGACCCAUAUUAGAGAAGGAUCUUAGAACUGGGCUCAGCAAAUUAUUCUGUAGCAGGAAUCCACAGGUGAAUCAGACAGGUGGGGAGGUUACCCUCUAGUUCAGGCCAAGGGGAUUUUUAAAAAAUCCAAAUUUCUGGGAUAUUGCUUCAUUCUCUGCUUUAAUCUGAUGGAAGAAUGGUUUGACUCUUGGCUCUGGAAUCUGAUAUGGCCAGUAUCAUCCUGCCUUCCAGGAGACAGAAAUAGCCAGGUCUCUGGAUUCACCUUCUGACACCUGAAUAGUAGAAUAGAAGGAAGCUCUUUUCUGAACCUGGCUCCCUAUGCUCCUCUUUCGUCUUCCGCCUUCCCCGGCCUUAGACUUACUCUCAGGCUAGAGUGAGACUUCAGAGACUUGUAAACAAGAUGUUGGCCAUCAGAGUGUCUCUUAUUUCUUUAGCAUUUUGGGGCCACACUUUAACUUUGGCAGUCCAGUAGAAUGACUCAAGCUUCCCUCUCCUUGGGAAGCCUAGAGUUCCCUUGCAGCUCCAGGAAUUGUAGAGAGCCCUCUGUUGCUCUCUUGCUCCAGGUUCCUGCUCCUUGUGAACUAUUUCUUGUUCUUAUCUCCUUAUUUUUCCUCCUGUCCACACUGUCUUCUGCCUAUCAUCUUCCCCACCCGGGCAUAGCCCCUUUUCCUUCAAUUCUCCAGGCAACCAGGCACACAAGACCAUGCCUUCAUUGAAGGUCCAUGGGUAACAGAGCUGGUUGCCUUGCCACAUCACACAACAAAUGAUUUUCACAAAAUCAAAAGAAGACACUGGAUAUUAGACACCCUUGUUGUUGGAACAGCCUCAUUUUCACUGGCUCUGCCGGUCGCCCUAACCCUUUGUUUGAGUCUUCCACGUUCUUCUCCCUGACAUCUCUCUUUCCCUCUCCCCAUUCGCUUUAUCCUUCCCUUGCAGAUCAUCUUUUGGAAACCAAUGUCCAGGAAAAAGAGGGAGAGACUGCUGAGCUGGCCAGCCCUGUUUAUUCUCCUGAAAUGUACCAGUCAUGGGGAACAGGUGGGGAGAGAAUGUUCCAGGAGGAGGGAUGAGCAUGAGGGUGGAGAAAGGCUAGGGUACAUCCUCAUCUCAGAAAUGAUCUUAAGCCUGUUGAAAUUUGUUAGUUUCUUAUUCUCUAUUUUCAGCCUAGCCUGACUAGAUUUCAUAUCUAAAUGUAAAGCAGCGCCUGCCCCAAACUGUGAUUUUCAGAGCUUUACUGCUUUGAUAGUUUCAGGAUGUAUUCCUUCUGUUCUUUAACUGCCACCAUCCUUCUUUCUAUGUGACGUUCACAUGCCAACCAACAGACAUCUUGAAACUUUACUGUUUUAAAAAAACUAUUUUCUGUUUUUUCCUGUUAAAAAAUCUUUUUCUUUCAUUUUUUUGGGAUAUAAUUGACAUAAGCCACUGUACAAGUUUAAGGUGUACAGCAAAAUGAUUUGGCCUCGUGAGAUGGUGAUCACCAUCUGUUUAGUGAACAUUCAUCAUCCUAUAGAGACACAAAAUUAAAGAAAUAGGAAAAAAUUUCCUUGUGAUGAAAACUUUUAGAAUUACCUCUUAUCAACUUUCAUAUAUAUCAUGCAGGAGGUGAGUUAAUCAUAUCGAUUGCAUUGUACUGUACAUCCGUAGUACAUAUUUGUUUGAUAUUUUACCAUUGACUUUUAUUUUCCUCUUAUUUCAUGACAGCUGUCAUUUGAGAUCAACAUUUUUGAGUGAUGGACUAUACAUGUAUAAUGAAGACAUGCUUCCUGCCCUCAAGGAAGCAUGAUCUAGUAGAAAAUAAGUAUAAAGUACUCUAUAACCUUUAACAUGCUUCCAAAAACUUUAUCUUACAACACCCGUGAAGUAGGGAAGUGUACAGCAUGAGGAUUUGACUUUGUGAGAUGGUGAUCACCAUAAGUUUAUGAUGACCUGAUUGAUGAUGACCUGAUAUAAAGAAUGACAAAAUAGAAACUCAGAGAUAAUGAGUUCUAGACUUGCACAGCUAAUGAGUGAUGGACCAGAACUGGAACUUGGGCUUCGAUUCCUAGUCUAACCAUCUUUCUACUUCCUACACCCGCAUUGGGUGCGUCACUCCCACUCUAAGCACAUUCCCAGAAAGAGAAAGUAUUUGGAAAAUGAUUGGACUGGUUCUAAAAAUGGAUGAAGUUCACUAGCUCUUGGGAAAAAAGAAUAUGUUGCCGUGGACAGCUUUCCUCUUUAUCUUUCCUCUUAAAUGUCAGUGUCCAAACCAAUGUCAGCCCCAUAAAUCAGGAUGAUUUUCACAGAACUGUUUCCCCAAACAUAUUUAUGUUAGAUUUCCUUCGGAUUAACUAGAUAUGAGUUCUGAUUCUGUGAAUGUUGUUAUCCUGUUCUUGAAUAUAUUUUUAAAGCAGAUGUUUUUUGUGAGAGCUGAAUAAUUGUUGACACCCUCCAAAGCUCAAUGUUUACUGAAAUCACGUUAAGCAAAUUAUAUGAUAAAAAUCUAUUUAGAUACAAUUCACUCUUUUUAAAACCUUAUUCUUUUCCUGGAAAGAGAAACCCAAUGAGGAAGAUAUGACACAUAAAUAUACAAAGCAUGUGAGGUGGUGUAAUCCUAGAAAAUAGAGGCAGCAGAGCAGACUCUGAAUUGCUUUCAGCACUUCCUCAACCAGGCUUCCAUUAGCACAGCUUCAUUUUCUUUACUCAAGGCUUUGUGCAUUCCAGAACAUCCAGCAGCCAUACGAAAGUGUAUGUGUAUGUACUUCUGUAUCCAGACCCACAAAGCAGAGAAAUGAAGAGAGACUUUACGACAUUUUUAAGCUGCUAUUCAGUCUGAAAACUGCCCUAUGUCUGAGCUUCCUUCCUUGUUUUUGGAUCAGAUUGAUUUGAUAUUUUAGAUUAUUUGCACAAAAGCCAAGACAGAACAAAUGAGAGAACACUUAUAUACUAUUUUGGAUUGUUGGUUUCACUGUACUCUCCCAUUAGCACAAAUAAUGGAGAGUUGGAUGGUUCUAGGAUUUCUAAUUUGGACAGUGCCAAAAUUAUGUAGCGCUGUAUACAGAUUAUCAAAUAUGUGGAGGUCCUUUCUUAUCACAGAUAAAUGUAUGAAUGUUAUGUUUGUGUUACUUUGUGGUAAAAAAACUCAUGGUGGUUGAUAUAAAUUAAAGAGCUCCUGGCAUAUACCUGGCAUGAACUCUCAAUAACUAUUUGCUGACUAAUAAUGAAGUUUACAUUAUCAUUUCUCUCUUGAAACUAUCACCAUGAUAUUAAAUACAUACUCUCAUAUAGU
RNAcentral lists this long non-coding RNA (3765 nucleotides) under Sus scrofa (pig). Its description in RNAcentral is "lncRNA (ENSSSCG00000059614.1)". Lineage: Eukaryota; Metazoa; Chordata; Mammalia; Artiodactyla; Suidae. The record is from RNAcentral.